RNAcentral lists this ribosomal RNA (253 nucleotides) under uncultured bacterium. RNAcentral's name for it is "partial 16S ribosomal RNA". It matches the Rfam family "Bacterial small subunit ribosomal RNA", at positions 524 to 776 of the family's 1533-position model. The record is from RNAcentral.
UACGGGGGGAGCAAACGUUGUUCGGAAUCACUGGGCGUAAAGGGCGCGUAGGCGGCCUUCUAAGUCGGACGUGAAAUCCCUCGGCUCAACCGAGGAACUGCGUCCGAUACUGAAAGGCUUGAAUCCGGGAGAGGGAUGUGGAAUUCCAGGUGUAGCGGUGAAAUGCGUAGAUAUCUGGAGGAACACCGGUGGCGAAGGCGGCAUCCUGGACCGGCAUUGACGCUGAGGCGCGAAAGCUAGGGGAGCAAACGGG